This 253-nucleotide ribosomal RNA is filed under the name uncultured bacterium. RNAcentral's name for it is "partial 16S ribosomal RNA". It matches the Rfam family "Bacterial small subunit ribosomal RNA", at positions 524 to 776 of the family's 1533-position model. The record is from RNAcentral.
UACGUAGGGUCCGAGCGUUGUCCGGAAUUAUUGGGCGUAAAGGGCUCGUAGGCGGUUUGUCGCGUUGUCCGUGAAAACUCACAACUCAAUUGUGGGCGUGCGGGCGAUACGGGCAGACUGGAGUACUGCAGGGGAGACUGGAAUUCCUGGUGUAGCGGUGGAAUGCGCAGAUAUCAGGAGGAACACCGGUGGCGAAGGCGGGUCUCUGGGCCACUACUGACGCUGAGAAGCGAAAGCAUGGGGAGCGAACAGG